UUACCGUCUCAAUUCAUUAUUUGUCUCUACUCACAUUGCUUUCAUGAAAGAAACAAAAAAGAAAAAAAAUGAAACAGGUAUAAAUGCCCAGGGCCUCAGAGAGGUAGAAGACCGGGAUCUCCAAGAUCUUCCGGAGCUACAAGUAACCGAACUGAGACAUAGAGACCUCAGGGAGGUGGAAGACCGGGAUCCCCAAGAUCUCCCGGCACGAACACCAAUCGAACUGAGACAUAGAGACCUCAGGGAGGUGGAAGACCGGGAUCCCCAAGAUCUCCUGGCACCAACACCAACCGAACUGAGACAUAGAGACCUCAGGGAGGUGGAAGACCGGGAUCCCCAAGAUCUCCCGGCACCAACAUAAACCUAACUGAGACAUCGAGACCUCAGGGAGGUAGAACACCAGGAUCCCCAAGAUCUCCUAGCAUAACAAGACUGGGAUCCCCAAGAUCUCCCAGUGCGAGA
Molecule: long non-coding RNA, 462 nt
Filed under: Manihot esculenta (cassava)
Lineage: Eukaryota; Viridiplantae; Streptophyta; Magnoliopsida; Malpighiales; Euphorbiaceae
Description: long non-coding RNA (MESC_LNC006974)
Source: RNAcentral